This 465-nucleotide ribosomal RNA is filed under the name uncultured bacterium. RNAcentral describes it as "partial 16S ribosomal RNA". It matches the Rfam family "Bacterial small subunit ribosomal RNA", at positions 28 to 507 of the family's 1533-position model. The record is from RNAcentral.
GACGAACGCUGGCGGCGUGCUUAACACAUGCAAGUCGUACGGUAAGGCCCUUUCGGGGGUCCACGAGUGGCGAACGGGUGAGUAACACGUGAGUAACCGGCCCACAACUUUGGGAUAACGCUAGGAAACUGGUGCUAAUACUGGAUAUGUGCUCCUGCUGCAUGGUGGGGGUUGGAAAGCUCCGGCGGUUGUGGAUGGACUCGCGGCCUAUCAGCUUGUUGGUGGGGUAGUGGCCUACCAAGGCGGCGACGGGUAGCCGGCCUGAGAGGGUGACCGGCCACAUUGGGACUGAGAUACGGCCCAGACGCCUACGGGAGGCAGCAGUGGGGAAUAUUGCACAAUGGGCGCAAGCCUGAUGCAGAAACGCCGCGUGCGGGAUGACGGCCUUCGGGUUGUAAACCGCUUUCAGCAGGGACGAAGCUUUUUGUGACGGUACCUGCAGAAGAAGCACCGGCUAACUACGUG